CCUACGGGAGGCAGCAGUGAGGAAUAUUGGUCAAUGGACGCAAGUCUGAACCAGCCAUGCCGCGUGCAGGAAGACGGCUCUAGGAGUUGUAAACUGCUUUUGUACGUGGGAAAAUACCGAUACGUGUAUCGGGUUGAAAGUAUCGUACGAAUAAGGAUCGGCUAACUCCGUGCUAGCAGCCGCGGUAAUACGGAGGAUUCAAGCGUUAUCCGGAUUUAUUGGGUUUAGAGGGUGCGUAGACGGUUCGAUAAGUUAGAGGUGAAAUCCCGGGGCUCAACGCCGGCAGUGCCUCUGUUACGGUCGGGCUAGAGUUGAGUUGCGGGAGGCGGAAUGUAUGGUGUAGCGGUGAAAUGCAUAGAGAUCAUACAGAACACCGAUUGCGAAGGCAGCUUACCAAACUACGACUGACGUGGAGGCACGAAAGCGUGGGGAGCAAACAGGAUUAGAUACCCGGGUAGUC
Molecule: ribosomal RNA, 460 nt
Filed under: uncultured bacterium
Lineage: Bacteria
Description: partial 16S ribosomal RNA
Rfam family: Bacterial small subunit ribosomal RNA
Source: RNAcentral